UAAUACAGAGGAGCCAAGCGUUGUCCGGAUUGACUGGGCGUAAAGCGCACGCAGGCGGUUGCGCGCGUGGGGUGUGAAAUCUGGCCGCUUAACGGCCAGGCGCCAUCCCAUACGGCGCGACUGGAGUGAUGCAGAGGUCGGUGGAAUUGCCGGUGUAGUGGUGAAAUGCGUAGAGAUCGGCAGGAACACCCAGGGGGAAACCAGCCGACUGGGCAUCAACUGACGCUGAUGUGCGAGAGCGUGGGGAGCGAACCGGAUUAGAUACCCGGGUAGUCCACGCCGUAAACGAUGGCCACUCGGCCUUUGGGGGCGGAAUCUCCGUCCGUGGGGGCCUUAGCUAACGCGGGAAGUGGCCCGCCUGGGAACUACGAGCGCAAGCUUA
Molecule: ribosomal RNA, 382 nt
Filed under: uncultured bacterium
Lineage: Bacteria
Description: bacterial SSU rRNA
Rfam family: Bacterial small subunit ribosomal RNA
Source: RNAcentral